AGACAAUGAAUAUUAUAAUGCAUUAUUUGAAGUAUUUGAUGUGUUCAAAUUUUUCAUAAUAAACAAUUAAAUUUGAUGUCUUUUAUUAUUUUUCACACCCCAUUCAUUUUUGAAAUUGAUAAGAACAAAACCUCCAGUCAAGAAGAGAAAAAAAAAAUGAGUUGGAGACAAACAUGGUCACAACCCAAAAAUGACAAACAAAUAGCAGCUUCACACAUGUUAGAACUACUAUAAAGGUCGUCUCUAUUUAAGCUAGCAAAAACUUAGUUCUCUGUGUCUACCUUCUUGUUCAAUUCAAGUAAUACCUAUUCAUUUUGAAUCUUAAUUUAAAGGUCAGGUCACC
This 343-nucleotide long non-coding RNA is filed under the name Mytilus galloprovincialis (Mediterranean mussel). Lineage: Eukaryota; Metazoa; Mollusca; Bivalvia; Mytilida; Mytilidae. The record is from RNAcentral.